AUGGGAGGGAAGUCACCCUUCUCCUUCUUCUGCCCGAUGUUCAGCUUCCUGUCGAGGUCGAGUUCGAGCUCGAGGUACGACGACGGCUACAUGAGCGACUGGGAGACCGAGACCCGGCGGAGGUGCGGGAGCAAGGUGCGGUCCAGCGACGAGGACUCCGGCUGGUGGGUCGGUGAGCGCGACGUCGACCGCAAGGCCGCCAACUACAUCAACGACUUCCACCAGAAAAAGGCACCACCAACACCUAGCUAG
This 252-nucleotide ribosomal RNA is filed under the name Triticum aestivum (bread wheat). RNAcentral describes it as "partial small subunit ribosomal RNA". Lineage: Eukaryota; Viridiplantae; Streptophyta; Magnoliopsida; Poales; Poaceae. The record is from RNAcentral.